GACGAACGCUGGCGGCGUGCCUAAUACAUGCAAGUUGAGCGCUGAAGGUUGGUACUUGUACCAACUGGAUGAGCAGCGAACGGGUGAGUAACGCGUGGGGAAUCUGCCUUUGAGCGGGGGACAACAUUCGGAAACGAAUGCUAAUACCGCAUAAAAACUUUAAACACAAGUUUUAAGUUUGAAAGAUGCAAUUGCAUCACUCAAAGAUGAUCCCGCGUUGUAUUAGCUAGUUGGUGAGGUAAAGGCUCACCAAGGCGAUGAUACAUAGCCGACCUGAGAGGGUGAUCGGCCACAUUGGGACUGAGACACGGCCCAAACUCCUACGGGAGGCAGCAGUAGGGAAUCUUCGGCAAUGGACGAAAGUCUGACCGAGCAACGCCGCGUGAGUGAAGAAGGUUUUCGGAUCGUAAAACUCUGUUGGUAGAGAAGAACGUUGGUGAGAGUGGAAAGCUCAUCAAGUGACGGUAACUACCCAGAAAGGGACGGCUAACUACGUG
This 497-nucleotide ribosomal RNA is filed under the name uncultured bacterium. RNAcentral's name for it is "partial 16S ribosomal RNA". It matches the Rfam family "Bacterial small subunit ribosomal RNA", at positions 28 to 507 of the family's 1533-position model. The record is from RNAcentral.